This is a long non-coding RNA of Esox lucius (northern pike), 1012 nucleotides long. Lineage: Eukaryota; Metazoa; Chordata; Actinopteri; Esociformes; Esocidae. The record is from Ensembl.
AAUCUAUAGAAUAAUUUAACUAUAUAUUGGAGCAUCUGUAACCCCUUCUUUUAAACAUAAAUUUGCGACUACAAACUUGCUAAAAUAUCUUGAUACAGCAGACAGAACACACAUUCCGUUUUUGUUGUCCUAGCUACUAGAUUUACCAAACCUGGCUAAACGAGAGGUAUUUUCGCAUCAUUUUCCCAGAAAUGUCGCCUGUCGCUGGUGUGACGUCAGAUCACUCUUAAAGCCCCCACGUUAUCUAUUCACUUUAUUCAGAUCAUCUAAAAAAAUUUAGUAUCCGACCAGAUCUCUCCACAGGUUUUCAAUAGGAUUUAGAUCUGGCCACUUCACAACAGUCCAGCGUUUUGUCUUGAACCAUUCCUGGGUGAUCUUUUAAGUAUGCUUGGGAUCAUUGUCCUACUGAAAAUUCCAUGACCUUCAACAGAAACAUAGCUUUUUGAUACUGGGUUAAACAUUGAGCUGCAAAAUGCCUUGGUUUUUUUAUUUGGUCUCAUCUGUCCACAGGAGAUUGCCCCAAAAGGAUUGUGGAAUGUUCAGGUGUGUUUUGGCAAAUUCCAGUCAGGCUUUCUUACAACUCUCUUUUGGCAGUGGGUGUCCUACCAUACCACAACACCCUUAACUGAGUUGGUGAUGGAUGGAUCAAGUUUAAGCUAUUGUACCAGUCCCAAGGCGUCACCUCCUUCCAGUCCUCCAUCUUCUCUGGAUCCCUGUGCCGUGCAGGCUGUUGCAUUUCUAUGUUCAGUGUCUUUUGUUUCAGUUUCUAUGUUCUUUGAUUGGUUUCACCACCGUCUAGUUUUUGGCCCUCGUUAUGUCCCUGUUCAAGUUCCUUCAUUCCUAGUCUUUCUUGUCAGUCAUUGUUUCAUGUGCCGUUCCUGCCCGAGUCCUUGUUUAUUGCAGUCUGUUUAUUAAAAUAACCGUUUGUCUGAACACCUCUGUGCCUAUGACCUGCAACUGCCUCCUGAACAAUGUUACACUUUUCUUUCUCAAAAAUGCUGCGAUGUCACUU